CAACAUCUUCACCAACGCCAGCUGCUACGCCAGCAGCCCCAACACCUUCCCCAUCGGCGACACCAACCCCAUCUCCAACUCCUUCCCCAACCCCAUCUCCAGCUCCUUCAACAGCUCCAACACCAUCCCCCACCACUUCCCCAUCUCCUUCUCCAAGAACUUCUUCACCUUCUCCUUCACCAGUCUCUUCCCCUCCUGCUCCUACCCCAUCAGGUGGGUCUACACCAGCCUCCGAGCCUUCAGCUGAAGUAGUCCCUCCUCCCUCUGCCGCCUCC
Molecule: long non-coding RNA, 275 nt
Filed under: Theobroma cacao (cacao)
Lineage: Eukaryota; Viridiplantae; Streptophyta; Magnoliopsida; Malvales; Malvaceae
Description: long non-coding RNA (TCAC_LNC000078)
Source: RNAcentral